GAAUCACGGACCAAGGAGUCUAGCAUGUGCGCGAGUCAUUGGGACAUAACGAAUCCUAAAGGCGCAAUGAAAGUGAAGGUCCGUUUCGCACGGACUUAGGGAAGAUGGGCGGUCCACAGUGACCACCUCGCACUCCCGGGGCGUCUCGUUCUCAUCGCGAGAAGAGGCGCACCAAGAGCGUACACGCUGGGACCCGAAAGAUGGUGAACUAUGCCUGGUCAGGACGAAGUCAGGGGAAACCCUGAUGGAGGUCCGUAGCGAUUCUGACGUGCAAAUCGAUCGUCGGAACUGGGUAUAGGGGCGAAAGACUAAUCGAACCAUCUAGUAGCUGGUUCCCUCCGAAGUUUCCCUCAGGAUAGCUGGCGCUCGUUGCGCACGAGUCUCAUCCGGUAAAGCGAAUGAUUAGAGGCAUUGGGGUCGAAACGGCCUCAACCUAUUCUCAAACUUUAAAUGGGUGAGAUCUCCGGCUUGCUCGAACUAUUGAAGCCGCGAGACACGGAUCAGAGUGCCAAGUGGGCCAUUUUUGGUAAGCAGAACUGGCGCUGUGGGAUGAACCAAACGCCGAGUUAAAGCGCCUAAAUCGACGCUUAUGGGAUACCAUGAAAGGCGUUGGUAACUUAAGACAGCAGGACGGUGGCCAUGGAAGUCGGAAUCCG
This 656-nucleotide ribosomal RNA is filed under the name Trichoceble sp. G0012. Its description in RNAcentral is "partial 28S large subunit ribosomal RNA". It matches the Rfam family "Eukaryotic large subunit ribosomal RNA", at positions 656 to 1270 of the family's 3401-position model. Lineage: Eukaryota; Metazoa; Arthropoda; Insecta; Coleoptera; Rhadalidae. The record is from RNAcentral.